GGGGCUGUGGCUCAGUGAUAGAGCACUUGCCUGGCAUGUGUGAGGCACUGGGUUCAAUUCUCAGCACCG
RNAcentral lists this transfer RNA (69 nucleotides) under Urocitellus parryii (Arctic ground squirrel). RNAcentral describes it as "Spermophilus parryii (Arctic ground squirrel) tRNA". It matches the Rfam family "tRNA". From Rfam's summary of the family: Transfer RNA (tRNA) molecules are approximately 80 nucleotides in length. RNAcentral also lists the same sequence under 2 other names. The record is from Rfam by way of RNAcentral. Lineage: Eukaryota; Metazoa; Chordata; Mammalia; Rodentia; Sciuridae.